AUAGAUGGCAAAGGGCUGAAGAAGGCUCACACCUUGAGGCACCAGCAAGCAAGAGGCUGGGAACAAGAGCAGGAAAAAGCAGAGAAGCCCAAGGAGAUGGGAUCAAUGAGUUCAGGGGAAAAGGGGCAGACCUGGGCAGUGUCCUAGAAGCUAAAUGAGAGCAGUGCUUCAGCUAAGAAGGCAUAGCAACUCCUUUAUAUGAGGAGUGAGAAUUAGCCAUGAAACUUCACAGGCAGGUCAUCGUUGGUGCACUGGACAAGAGCAGUUUGGUUGGAGUAUGGAGGUAGGGUGAGAUGAAAGCCUCAUUGGAGAAGGUUCAACAAGAAUAGAGUGAGAGGAACUUCACACAAAAGCUUCAGCAGCGCUCCGUGAAGUGACAACCACGUCCCUCAAAUUCACUCUUGACUGUGUUUUUAUUUUCAUAUGUCGUACUUCUUACCUAGGCCUUCAUAUCACAGUCAUCUAAACUGAGAACAGAUCAAGGCUGUGGCUCACCAAAGGUAAAAACUAACUGGGCAAAGCAAAGAAGGAGAAACAAUUUGAAAACUCAGAGAAUUCAACUUGUGACUCCUUCUUCGCUUUGCCCACCUUUGCUGUUCUUGACCGUUCUUUGGUUUAUGCCUUAUUAUCUCCUGCUUCCCAGUUUUAAGAUUCCCUAAACAAAAUUAAAAAAAAUAGUGUGUCGAGACAUUUCCUUUAAAGUGAUUAAAUCUGAGCAGCAUUAACUAAAUG
Molecule: long non-coding RNA, 732 nt
Filed under: Homo sapiens (human)
Lineage: Eukaryota; Metazoa; Chordata; Mammalia; Primates; Hominidae
Description: HSALNT0157922
Source: RNAcentral